CGUACUAUCAGUCAUCUCAUCUAGCAGGCUGUUGCGGCUAAAGCUGUGUGAAAUUAAAGCGGCAUAUGCAGUAGUCUCGGAUAUAAAUGAGAUGGUAAUAACACGAAUUGCGACAGCGAAGACCUGACUGCUUAUAGUAGCACAUCCGCACCGCACCGGUUGUAGUGACGUCAACACGAUCAAAUCCUGGACGAAGUCUAACGUGACAAAAAUUACAGACUUUUAUUUCAUGAACAAACAUUUGAUGACACUGGCCAGACUGCCGCUGGCCUAGAACAAUUAGACAAAACGACGGCUACACGAUGGCACGUCUUCUUGAGGGAGCUCUUCGAGAGAGACUUGCAAAAAUGUUGACAGCUGUGAGUGACACGGAAAAAGAAAACCCUCCACUCUGGGGGAUGGGUGUGGUGGCAACAGCUAUUGCAGUCAAUUUUUUUGGAUCACUGGCACAGAAGGAACUGAAGGUGAUGAUCAUAGAUGACUACCCUGAUUCCAGCCAGACACUUCUGACCUUUGGUCUGGCACUACUGCAGAUACUGUCAGCUGUACUUGUUUUCCAAUCAAGUAGUAUCAGCUUUUCAGGCUCACCAACCAACAGGGAGGCAGCCAUCCUGGCAACGUUUGCUCAUGCUGGUUGGCUGUACCUGACUUCAUACCGACUAUGGGGACAGGACACGGGUGCUUCUGUGUCUUAUGGAGCCUUGGAGCCUAUCUUCUGCAUUCUACUUUUGUGUAUUGCAGCUGGGAUUCCAACAGAACUUUCCAAGGUAGGUGCCGUUGCCGCAAUCUGCCUUGGAACAGGAAUGAUGACUGCGACUUCUCAAUUUUGAUUGACAAGACAGCUUUAAUUAGGAUCAUAGCAGCUUUGUUCUGCCUUUCACGGAACAUGAUCAUCAAACACCUGUACGACAGCAACGUGAAAAUAUCCCUUCGCGGCCAGAACACCUUGCUUUCAGUUUUAGCCAGUGGAACUGUUACUGCUGUGCUCUUUGGGCUGGCUGUCUCAAGUACUAUGGUGGUACCAGCUAUGAUCAUAGUGGUGUCAUGUCUGUUGUCAGUGGUGUCGUUACACCUGACCUUCAUGCUGCUGUCUUUGUAUGAUAACACCACUGCAGUCGUCUUUAUGCUAUGGGCCCAGGUGGUGGACACAGUGGUGUUUGUCAGCUCUGUAUCACGACCAGACAUUUUGCUAAUCCCUGUGGGUGCAGUACUGUUCGCUUUAGGCCAUUACUAUUAUUUCAAGGAUGGUGUGGAGUCAGGUACCAUUCAUCUCAACAUGAAAAGAGGUGUCAACGAAAUGAUAACACGUCUUCAGUUUGUCCUGUAUGCCUGCAGUAUUAUUGCUCUGCUAGCCAUCGUUUUCCAGCCCAAACUUAGUGAGCGUGACAUAAACAUUCUCAGUUAUGUUGGCCUGGACAGGAUUGCUCGCAAACUGCUCUCUUUGAGUGCAGACCACCAAUGAAGUAUGGAGGUUUCCAGGUCUGGGGAUCCAGAAGUCUCAGUGAUAAAGCUUCUGUUGGUUUGGAGUACUGCUUUAGUUGUGGCAUCUGCAUUAAGAGAUCUGAUAUGUCAUGUAAUCUAAAUUUUGAAUCAGGGGAUGUAAUUGUGUAAUCUACACAGAUAUAAUUGAGUGCUUCAAGAGUGGUUGUUUUGACCUAAUACAUACAUUUUUCAAGUCUUAAGGCUUAAUCUUAUUGGUACGAUUGGAUUACCAUUGCAUGCAGAAAGUGUCUGGUGUUGUACAACUCUCCACCCUGACAUGAUUGAGCAUUAGACUCGUACAUUUUCCCGUAUAUAGAUCUCCAUAGACAAAGAAUUAUUUUGGUAAUAUGUUGAUACAAAUCAUUGAACUAUUCUAAUGAAAACCCAUGCACAUUUAAAUGUAGAAAAUCUGUCAAGAUCUCGUUUGCAUUACUUAUUUUGAGUAUAUGCAUGCAAAUGUUUUACUAUUUUGAGGGAUUUCUUGGUGAAAGAGUGGAUAUAUUAAGGUAUUUAUAAAUCAAGAUAUUCUUGUCAGGAUAUUCUGUGAAACUGCUGCUAUAAACUUUGUCUGUCAAAAGAUAACAUUAUUAUAACCAAGAGUGUUAUUUUUAAUUAAUAGUAACUAAUAGCCUUAUUAGUUUCAUGUCACAAAAACAGGACUGUUCUCAUAUGGUCAUUUUUAGUUUUUAUUUGAAUAGUUUUCACCAUAUCAGUAGGGUUAACAUAAUGGUAUUGGAAAGGUGGUAUGUGGUUGUUUAUACCUCGGUGUAGCACAGCUGUUCACGUGUGGUUAUUGGGUGAAUAGAACUGUAAAUAAUUUUGCUAACAAGAAGCACACUGCUACUGCACUAGGUAAAAGUAGUUGAGAGAAAAGGGUCUGUUUUGUAAUUGCUCAUUGCAGAGAUUGUUGCCAUUUAUUUGCUUUGUAAGACCAUGAUGGAGAGAUGUCAGCAUUUUGUACAAGUCGCUGUUAGUCUCAAAUAACAGAAAAGAAAAAUACUGUGAUAUUUAUCAGUCCUUAUACAGUUUUUGUGCAUUUAUAAAUGUUCUAUUAUAUUUUAUACAAAAGAGCAGUUUGAAAUGGCUGGUGUCAUUAUUAAUCAUGCCUCGUGUAUUUAUAUUACCUCAUGCCUCAUAAUGUUAUUUAAUGGCUAAAUUAUCCAUUUAUUUUACGAAAGAUUGGCUAGUUUUACACAAGAAGUUUAACCCUUCAACCAUGAGAUUGCCGUUUAUUGCAGACGCUGUCCAUGCACAUUCCUCUCCUAAUCUGCCAAGCUAUGUUCUGCAGCACUAGAGCUUCAUGGCCCUCGAUCAUUGUAGUAUGUCUUAACAAGCAGUGGAAAGCUUUACUAUGAUUUCCUGAAAUAUUUGAUAGUACAGUAUACAUUUAGAUUUAUAAUUUUUGUGGGUUUUUUUUAAAGGCAUUUAAAAAAAUAUUUAGCCAUCUGGUGGGCACUACAGUCUCUAUCUUACUGGUCGAGACACUGUAUUUUACAUUCAUUCCUUCAUUUCUUGACUGGUACAAGUUAUGUUUGUCCACUUGUACUGGUCUUUGGGACAUGGCACCUGACAAGCCUGCCAACUCAAGCUUAUCUUGAGCAGGGGCAAGCAGGCAAUGUGCAGAACGACCAGUCCACAUCUUCCAGUUUGUAAGCCAGUUCAUCCUCUCACCACCUUUGUUCCAAACUCCCUCUAAGGUAUCAUAGUGUCAUGCUAGGUCUAAUGGCUGAACUAGGUCAGCUUAUGCCAUUUUAUCUUUCAAAGUAAAGGUUCCUGGUGUCCUUUGAGUGUGGUGACCAUGCUUCGCCAGUAUUUUACAGUUUGACCAGAAUGUUUCAGAAAACUAUUUGGCUUACUCUUUCUCUUUUUCAACCAUGUUGACAGUGCAUUAAUGCAGGAUUUUUGUUUUCACUGGCUGUAUUUUACAUUGCCAACUGUGCUCAUUAGUACUAACAAACGAGAUAAUUUUGUAAAGCUUAAAUGUGGUUGUGCAAAGACAUCUUAAUUAAUCUUUAUUUCAUAUCAUCAUGUUAAUUGUCCUAAAAGCAACCUUGAAUGCUUCAGCUAUGAAUUUGUCAAAAUGACAGUGUGUUUGGGACAAUGGAUCAGAUGAAGUAGAUAAUCAAAUCAGACAAAUAACUUCAGUAUUUUUACAGCAGUGGAUUAAGAGGUAGCUAAAUGCAUAUACUUUUCUUUCAUUCUGAAUUCCUCAUUUUAAACUGCUUGUUUUGAAUGCAUGUCAGUUUCAGCUUUGCUAAAAAAUCAGAAACAACACAUAUUUCUGAUCAAAACUUGCAACAAGAAGCUUAUUUUGUUUAGAUUUGCUACUUGAUGAUGUAGACGUUUCAAUGGUUUGAGCAUUUAAUUCAUUUGAGGUGGUUCAUUAUACCUAAAAAAAAAUGUUUUCUUCUGUAAAUGACAAUCAGGAAACAUCUGACAAACAUUUUUUUUUUUUAAUAAAUACAGGAUGCAUAGUGAGAUGCAGAUUCUAAAAUGUUGAUAGCGAAACUAUUGAACUAGUAGGAUUUACUUCCCUUUGACUAUAGAUGGGCCAGUUAGUCUUAGAAAGUUACCUUCCCAUAGAAUACUCAGUUACCACCUGCUCUCAUUCAUAGUAGACUGAUGAGUAGACCUUGCGGGAAGUACAGAUACUUUUUCCAUGAUAGUGGGUAAUAGACAUUCAUAUCUUUUUUGACUUGUACCCUGUGACCUUUCAUAGUGCAUUUCUGUUGAAAUGAAUGAUUUAGAUAUUGAACAUUGAGUAUAAAUGUGACUACAAAAUAGAAAAUUCAAAUUCUUCAUCUGUAACUAUAAAAAAGAUUUAUUUUUACAUUUCAGUUUACUAAUGCAUUUGUUGAAAUUGACAUUUUUUGUAUCUUGACAUAAAUCCAAGACUAGUACCUUGAAUGAGCACCAAACAAUCUUUUGUAUAAAAGAAUGUUGAUUAGAAGGUACUUUACUGUUAAUAAAGGUCUGCUAUGCUGUUUCAACUUUACAAAGGUCACUGUGGCAAAGGUUUUAUCACAAAGUCUCAAAGACAGGCAAAAGAAGUGUAACCAGUUUUUGGUAUUCUUUUGAAAAAUGUUAUCUUCAUUCAGCGCCUUGCAGUGAACUGUUACAAAGGGUUUCACAUUUAACAUUAUUCGUCUUACAUUUUACAGCUUUUUCUCAAAAAAGAAUAUUGGAGAAGACACUGCAUGUGUUUCAGAUUUUUAUUUGCUAUAGGUUUGAUUAAAACUACAUUCUCAUCUACUCUGUAGUGGCAUUGUUAUAUAACUUGCUCUGUGGGAUGUUUGAGGGGAAUCAAGAUUUGCUGUGUACAAACUGUACAAAUACCUAAGGAAAUUUGAUGGCUGUUGAUGAAUUUGUGGUUGUGCUUCUAUCAGAGAACUUCUCAUCUGUGACAUGGUUGUAAAUCAAAAGUGAGCAAGAACUCCAUUUGAGACAACCUUUUUGGUUUUAAAGCAGCUAUUUUAUAUUUAUAUUCUGUUUAAUGGAAUUUGUGUUUAUAAUCCUCUGCUUGGUGUACAGUUCAUCAUUAAUUUUUGUCCUGCACAGGCUGUGUGAAACUCUCUCUUAAACAAAGCUUUGCACAAAUGAAAGGCCAAUGAGUAAGAUAGAGUUUUUGAAAGGGGGAAGAAAAUUGUGUAACAUUUUUUCAUCACUGCGUUUCAAGAGGAUAAGCAUCGUUUUUUAAAAAUUUAUCUCCUGGAAAAAAUUGCUAUUGUAAAAUGUAAAUGUUUGAAAGUGAACACAAAUUUUAAGCUUUACAGAUGUUUACAGUUUGACACAGUGAUACACCUAUUAGGACUUAUUUCUGCAAACACUUUGUUUUACAAACAUUUUGUGGGUUUUAAAUAAAGUAACAGGUUCAUG
This 5358-nucleotide unclassified non-coding RNA is filed under the name Pomacea canaliculata. Its description in RNAcentral is "uncharacterized LOC112562630, transcript variant X2". Lineage: Eukaryota; Metazoa; Mollusca; Gastropoda; Architaenioglossa; Ampullariidae. The record is from RNAcentral.